GACAGAGGGUGCAAACGUUGUUCGGAAUUACUGGGCGUAAAGCGUGCGUAGGUGGUUUGUUAAGUCUGAUGUGAAAGCCCUGGGCUCAACCUGGGAAUGGCAUUGGAUACUGGCGAGCUAGAGUGCGGUAGAGGGUAGUGGAAUUCCUGGUGUAGCGGUGAAGUGCGCAGAUAUCAGGAAGAACACCCGUGGCGAAGGCGGUUCUCUGGGACGGUACUAACGCUGAGACGCGAAAGCGUGGGGAGCGAACAGG
RNAcentral lists this ribosomal RNA (253 nucleotides) under uncultured bacterium. RNAcentral's name for it is "partial 16S ribosomal RNA". It matches the Rfam family "Bacterial small subunit ribosomal RNA", at positions 524 to 776 of the family's 1533-position model. The record is from RNAcentral.